GUGGGGAAUAUUGCACAAUGGGCGCAAGCCUGAUGCAGCCAUGCCGCGUGUGUGAAGAAGGCCUUCGGGUUGUAAAGCACUUUCAGCGAGGAGGAAGGUGGUGAGCUUAAUACGCUCAUCAAUUGACGUUACUCGCAGAAGAAGCACCGGCUAACUCCGUGCCAGCAGCCGCGGUAAUACGGAGGGUGCAAGCGUUAAUCGGAAUUACUGGGCGUAAAGCGCACGCAGGCGGUUUGUUAAGUCAGAUGUGAAAUCCCCGGGCUCAACCUGGGAACUGCAUUUGAAACUGGCAAGCUAGAGUCUCGUAGAGGGGGGUAGAAUUCCAGGUGUAGCGGUGAAAUGCGUAGAGAUCUGGAGGAAUACCGGUGGCGAAGGCGGCCCCCUGGACGAAGACUGACGCUCAGGUGCGAAAGCGUGGGGAGCAA
This 425-nucleotide ribosomal RNA is filed under the name uncultured Serratia sp. Its description in RNAcentral is "bacterial SSU rRNA". It matches the Rfam family "Bacterial small subunit ribosomal RNA", at positions 354 to 771 of the family's 1533-position model. Lineage: Bacteria; Pseudomonadati; Pseudomonadota; Gammaproteobacteria; Enterobacterales; Yersiniaceae. The record is from RNAcentral.